CCAGACUCCUACGGGAGGCAGCAGUGAGGAAUAUUGGUCAAUGGGCGGAAGCCUGAACCAGCCAAGUCGCGUGAGGGAAUAAGGCCCUACGGGUCGUAAACCUCUUUUGCCGGGGAGCAAGGGCGGGGACGUGUCCCGGCCCGGAGAGUACCCGGAGAAAAAGCAUCGGCUAACUCCGUGCCAGCAGCCGCGGUAAUACGGAGGAUGCGAGCGUUAUCCGGAUUUAUUGGGUUUAAAGGGUGCGUAGGCGGGCUUUUAAGUCAGCGGUAAAAAUUCGGGGCUCAACCCCGUCCGGCCGUUGAAACUGGGGGCCUUGAGUGGGCGAGAAGAAGGCGGAAUGCGUGGUGUAGCGGUGAAAUGCAUAGAUAUCGCGCAGAACUCCGAUUGCGAAGGCAGCAUGCCGGCUCCACACUGACGCUGAGGCACGAAAGCGUGGGUAUCAAACAGGAUUAGAUACCCGCGUAA
RNAcentral lists this ribosomal RNA (465 nucleotides) under uncultured bacterium. RNAcentral's name for it is "bacterial SSU rRNA". It matches the Rfam family "Bacterial small subunit ribosomal RNA", at positions 331 to 793 of the family's 1533-position model. The record is from RNAcentral.